This is a long non-coding RNA of Hemicordylus capensis (graceful crag lizard), 599 nucleotides long. RefSeq lists it as uncharacterized. The transcript is spliced from 4 exons. Lineage: Eukaryota; Metazoa; Chordata; Lepidosauria; Squamata; Cordylidae. The record is from RefSeq and is a predicted model, not a curated record.
CUUAAACUGGGUGGAGAUGGCAAGAGUGGGAGGAGCAAAGCAAGUGAUAUGUAUAUAUAGACAUAAGAGGCUCCAAAUUGCACAGUCAACACAGAACACACAGAGCAGGAGGUACUUGUUUCUCCACUGCAAACUUGAGAUGAUCACUCCCCACAGAUGCUGGACCACUCUCUUUGCCUUCACCUGCUGUAUGGCUUUGCUCCUUGACCAUGUUGGGGGCUCCGAACCACCACCGUACCCGGGUGACAAUGCCUCAAAAGAAGAAAUGAAGGCAUUUCUGAAUGCCCUUACUGAGCAUCUUGAUCGAGAAGGCGCCAAGAAGAGGGACCUGGGUGAUGAGGAUAUCGCUGGAUUCUGAGAACAUCCCUAUAGUUGCCCCAAGUGACAGUUGAACACAACAGGGCCAAGACCAGAACAGAUGGACAUCACAGCAGUCACCCCAAACUCAAGACAGAAAACUGAUCUCUCCAUGCUUCUCCCUGAUGACCUUUGCCAGUUAUGCCUUGGUGAAUCUGCAUCUUUAAAGAGGCCAAGCUACUUGUGUUGCCUUCUUUUGCUCUCCUUAGUGAGUUACGGGAGAAUCACAUAAUUAGAACGAA